UUCCCUAAGAUUAACCCAUGCAUGUUUUUGACAUUUAAAAAAUGGACUGCUCAGUAAUACUCACUUUAUUUUAAGUAAAUUUUUAAUUAAAUACGUUAAAGUGUAGAUAAGAUGUUUACCGUAAGAGUGAGACCUAUCAGCUAGUUGUUAAGGUAAUGGCUUAACAAGGCUGUGACGGGUAACGGUAUUACUUUGUAAUAUUCCGGAGAAGGAGCCUGAGAGACGGCUACUAAGUCUAAGGAUUGCAGCAGGGGCGAAACUUGACCUAUGGAUUUUAUUUGAGGCAGUUAUGGGAAGUAAUAUUAUAUUGUUUCAUAUUUUAAAAGUAUAUGAGGUGAUUAAUUGGAGGGCAAAUCAAGUGCCAGCAGCCGCGGUAAUACUUGUUCCAAGAGUGUGUAUGAUGAUUGAUGCAGUUAAAAAGUCCGUAGUUUAUUUUUUUAUAAAGCAA
Molecule: ribosomal RNA, 448 nt
Filed under: Nosema sp.
Lineage: Eukaryota; Fungi; Microsporidia; Nosematidae
Description: SSU rRNA
Rfam family: Microsporidia small subunit ribosomal RNA
Source: RNAcentral